This 492-nucleotide ribosomal RNA is filed under the name uncultured bacterium. RNAcentral's name for it is "partial 16S ribosomal RNA". It matches the Rfam family "Bacterial small subunit ribosomal RNA", at positions 29 to 507 of the family's 1533-position model. The record is from RNAcentral.
AGUGAACGCUGGCGGUAGGCCUAACACAUGCAAGUCGAACGGCAGCACAGUAAGAGCUUGCUCUUACGGGUGGCGAGUGGCGGACGGGUGAGGAAUACAUCGGAAUCUACUUUUUCGUGGGGGAUAACGUAGGGAAACUUACGCUAAUACCGCAUACGACCUACGGGUGAAAGCAGGGGAUCUUCGGACCUUUCGCGAUUGAAUGAGCCGAUGUCGGAUUAGCUAGUUGGCGGGGUAAAGGCCCACCAAGGCGACGAUCCGUAGCUGGUCUGAGAGGAUGAUCCGCCACAAUGGAACUGGGGAAAGGUCCCAAACCCUAAGGGAGGGAGCAGGGGGGAAUUUUGGGAAAUGGGGGGCAGCCUGAUCCAGCCAUACCGCGUGGGUGAAGAAGGCCUUCGGGUUGUAAAGCCCUUUUGUUGGGAAAGAAAAGCAGCAGGUUAAUACCCCGCUGUUCUGACGGUACCCAAAGAAUAAGCACCGGCUAACUUCGUG